UACAGAGGGGGCAAGCGUUAUUCGGAAUUAUUGGGCGUAAAGGGCGCGUAGGCGGUUUGUUAAGUCAGAUGUGUAAUCCCCGAGCUCAACUUGGGAACUGCAUCUGAGACUGGCAGGCUAGAGUACUGGAGAGGGUGGUGGAAUUCCUCGUGUAGCGGUGAAAUGCGUAGAGAUGAGGAGGAACACCAGUGGCGAAGGCGGCCACCUGGACAGUAACUGACGCUGAGGCGCGAAAGUGUGGGUAGCAAAC
This 250-nucleotide ribosomal RNA is filed under the name uncultured bacterium. RNAcentral describes it as "partial 16S ribosomal RNA". It matches the Rfam family "Bacterial small subunit ribosomal RNA", at positions 524 to 773 of the family's 1533-position model. The record is from RNAcentral.